UCUGAGGGUCCAGGGUUCAAGUCCCUGU
This 28-nucleotide non-coding RNA is filed under the name Homo sapiens (human). Lineage: Eukaryota; Metazoa; Chordata; Mammalia; Primates; Hominidae. RNAcentral also lists the same sequence under 1 other name. The record is from RNAcentral.